Molecule: long non-coding RNA, 939 nt
Organism: Triticum dicoccoides
Lineage: Eukaryota; Viridiplantae; Streptophyta; Magnoliopsida; Poales; Poaceae
Exons: 2
Source: RefSeq, a predicted model, not a curated record
CCACACCACAAAAUGUACACAGAAGUACCAGAGACGUUUGAUCGAUCCCACUAAUUUACAUCCAACGUUCUAUAUUACAUCAAGCAUCUACCACACAAAUCAACGAUCUGGAUUAAAUGUUCUGCCAGGGCAGACUACCCUGCCCACGUCCUGCAGCCCCCCUCCCACGAUCUACCUCAGGCAAACAAGCCGCCACACAACAAGCCGCUAAACGCAUCUGAGCCCCCAUUCAUCACGUUCACCUCACCUGCCCGGGCUGCGCCCCUGCCUCCCUCCCCACCGCCGUGCUCCCUUUGCCUUCGGAUCGCUCCCCUCUGUGGUUGUACGCCGCCCGCCGCCCGCGCAACCUUCCUUCACCCCGCUCGACGUCGUCUUGCCCGUCCGCCUCUCCUAUGGCGCACGGCACCUGCCGCCGGACCCGCCCUUCCACCAUCUCCUGUGUCGCCGGCAGAACCUCACUUCGUGCUGCUCGCCAUCGGAUUGGCCUGCCCGUGCGCCUCUCCUACGACGCCAGCCUCCAGCUCUGCCCUCCUCCAUCUCCUAUGGUGCACGCCGCCCGCCGCCGGCCCCGCCCUUUGGCAUCUCCUAUGGCGCGCGGCACCCGUCCGUCGGCCUCUCUUGUGGCUAACGGCUGUUGCUGCUCGAUGCCUCGAACAACGCUACAGAGUGGCCCUGCCACGCCUUCAUCGUAUACCUCAUCGAAAUGCCUACUUUAAAGCUGUGUGAAUCCAUCAUUUUCCUUUGAGUUUGCUAUUGAGGUGACUUGGAAACCUUUUCUUUAACUUGGUGGAUGUAGUUGUAGUGAUGGAGACUUGCCUGAAUGUUGCUUUCCUGGGCGUGAAGUGCCUUGAAUUAUCAUAAAUUCUGUAUAAAUGUACGUACCUGUCUGCACCUGAUGGUGAUCUGCCAAAGUUUUGUACUUUCGAGGUAAAUUUGCUA